CUACGGGAGGCAGCAGUCGAGAAUAUUGGUCAAUGGGCGAAAGCCUGAACCAGCGACGCCGUGUGCUUGAAGAAAUCCUUCGGGGUGUAAAGAGCUUUUCUCAGGGAUGAGGCCGCAAGGCGGACAGUACCUGAGGAAUAAGGGGGUGCUAAUCACGUGCCAGCAGCCGCGGUAAUGCGUGACCCCCAAGCGUUAUCCGGAUUUAUUGGGCGUAAAGAGUCUGUAGGCGGCAUAGAAAGUCUUUGGUUAAAUACCUAGAGCUCAACUUUAGGGGUGCCAGAGAAACUACUAAGCUAGAGGGCGCUAAGGGCUGGUGGAACGGUCGGUGUAGGGGUGAAAUCCGUUGAUAUCGACCGGAACCCUCAAAGCGAAGGCAUCCAGCUGGAGCGACCCUGACGCUGAGAGACGAAAGCGUAGGUAGCGAACGGGAUUAGAUACCCCAGUAGUC
This 448-nucleotide ribosomal RNA is filed under the name uncultured bacterium. RNAcentral describes it as "partial 16S ribosomal RNA". It matches the Rfam family "Bacterial small subunit ribosomal RNA", at positions 339 to 795 of the family's 1533-position model. The record is from RNAcentral.